CUCUAUGGUUCGAGCUUUCGCAAUUCAAUUCAUAUUUUGACAGCCAUACUAAAUAGUAAAUACUAAUUGUAAAUAACAUUUUAUUGGUGAGUUUCAGGCUGUAUUUGGACAAAUUAAUUGAUACUUCUCAUUUAAAAGAAAUAACAUGGCUACUCCUACCCCCGAUACACCAGAACAAUACGAUCAAUUUGAUGACGAGGAGUCAGAUCAGCAAUUAGGAGCAACAGCUUCUGGCCGAAAAAGAUUGUUUAGUAAAGAGCUUCGAUGCAUGAUGUAUGGAUUUGGCGAUGAUCGGAACCCAUACACUGAAAGUGUCGAUUUUUUAGAAGAUCUUGUUAUUGAGUUUAUAACCGAAACUACACAUAGAGCAAUGGAAGUUGGAAGACCUGGUAGAGUUCAAGUUGAAGAUAUUAUUUUUUUAGUUCGUAAGGAUUUUCGUAAAUAUGCUCGUGUUAAAGACUUGCUAACAAUGAAUGAAGAACUUAAGAAAGCUAGAAAAGCAUUUGACGAGGUUAAAUAUGUUGAAGAUCAACAAUAGUAUUGGCAGUCAAAAUGCUGCUCAUGCUCAGACUGAUGCAAAGUGAGGAUAAUUUACAAAAUGGACCAAAUAUAAUUGAUGAAGACUUGAUUAUUUAUGGCAUGUUACAAAAAUGGCUAAGUAGCAGUUUUGCAGGAAGAUUUUAUAAAAGAACAACAAGUUAUAAUAAAAGACAUCAAUAUAGAGUUUAAUUAAAA
Zerene cesonia (dogface butterfly) is the source of this 735-nucleotide RNA transcript. It is a transcript of the gene named transcription initiation factor TFIID subunit 13, with no coding region annotated. Lineage: Eukaryota; Metazoa; Arthropoda; Insecta; Lepidoptera; Pieridae. The transcript is spliced from 6 exons. The record is from RefSeq and is a predicted model, not a curated record.